AGUGAACGCUGGCGGUAGGCCUAACACAUGCAAGUCGAACGGCAGCACAGUAAGAGCUUGCUCUUACGGGUGGCGAGUGGCGGACGGGUGAGGAAUACAUCGGAAUCUACUUUUUCGUGGGGGAUAACGUAGGGAAACUUACGCUAAUACCGCAUACGACCUACGGGUGAAAGCAGGGGAUCUUCGGACCUUGCGCGAUUGAAUGAGCCGAUGUCGGAUUAGCUAGUUGGCGGGGUAAAGGCCCACCAAGGCGACGAUCCGUAGCUGGUCUGAGAGGAUGAUCAGCCACACUGGAACUGAGACACGGUCCAGACUCCUACGGGAGGCAGCAGUGGGGAAUAUUGGACAAUGGGCGCAAGCCUGAUCCAGCCAUACCGCGUGGGUGAAGAAGGCCUUCGGGUUGUAAAGCCCUUUUGUUGGGAAAGAAACGCAGCAGGUUAAUACCCCGCUGUUCUGACGGUACCCAAAGAAUAAGCACCGGCUAACUUCGU
Molecule: ribosomal RNA, 491 nt
Filed under: uncultured bacterium
Lineage: Bacteria
Description: partial 16S ribosomal RNA
Rfam family: Bacterial small subunit ribosomal RNA
Source: RNAcentral